This is a long non-coding RNA of Homo sapiens (human), 243 nucleotides long. RefSeq lists it as uncharacterized. Lineage: Eukaryota; Metazoa; Chordata; Mammalia; Primates; Hominidae. The record is from RefSeq and is a predicted model, not a curated record. The transcript has 3 exons.
GGCCCAUACAGGCUUAUCAUAUGACCUUGUAACUGCUUUCAUGUUGACUUCUCCAGGACUCAAAGAACAGUCAAGGGCAAUGCUAAGCAACACCAGCCAUCACCAUCCGGCUCUCCACUCCGACCUUCAGUAACCACUCACUUACCCAACAGAUAUACACUGAGCACCUACUAUGUACAGGUUCAAGCCAACAGCCAUGUGGGUGAGACCUCCUGGAGGCAGAUUGUCCAGGCUCAAUCAAAG